Molecule: ribosomal RNA, 235 nt
Filed under: uncultured bacterium
Lineage: Bacteria
Description: partial 16S ribosomal RNA
Rfam family: Bacterial small subunit ribosomal RNA
Source: RNAcentral
GAAGCAGUGAUGUGAAGCAAAUCGCACCAAAGCCAGUCCCAGUUCGGAUAAGAGGCUGAAACUCGCCUCUUUGAAGUCGGAAUCGCUAGUAAUCGCAGAUCAGCAUGUUGCGGUGAAUACGUUCCCGGGUCUUGUACACACCGCCCGUCAAACCAUGAGAGUCACCAACACCCGAAGUCCGCCUUGGCGGCCUAAGGUGGGGGAGAUGAUUGGGGUUAAGUCGUAACAAGGUAUC